AACCUUUGCUUCUCAUGUCAA
This 21-nucleotide unclassified non-coding RNA is filed under the name Dictyostelium discoideum. Lineage: Eukaryota; Evosea; Eumycetozoa; Dictyosteliales; Dictyosteliaceae. The record is from RNAcentral.